Molecule: ribosomal RNA, 219 nt
Filed under: uncultured bacterium
Lineage: Bacteria
Description: partial 16S ribosomal RNA
Rfam family: Bacterial small subunit ribosomal RNA
Source: RNAcentral
AACGCGUAGAAAUCUGCCUGGUAGUGGGGGAUAGCCCAGAGAAAUUUGGAUUAAUACCGCAUACGCCCUACGGGGGAGAGCAGGGGACCUUCGGGCCUUGCGCUAUCAGAUGAGUCUGCGUCGGAUUAGCUUGUUGGUGAGGUAAUGGCUCACCAAGGCGACGAUCCGUAGCUGGUCUGAGAGGAUGAUCAGCCACACUGGGACUGAGACACGGCCCAG